Molecule: ribosomal RNA, 468 nt
Filed under: uncultured bacterium
Lineage: Bacteria
Description: partial 16S ribosomal RNA
Rfam family: Bacterial small subunit ribosomal RNA
Source: RNAcentral
GACGAACGCUGGCGGCGUGCUUAACACAUGCCAGUCGAACGGAAAGGCCCUGCUUUUGUGGGGUGCUCGAGUGGCGAACGGGUGAGUAACACGUGAGUAACCUGCCCUUGACUUUGGGAUAACUUCAGGAAACUGGGGCUAAUACCGGAUAGGAGCUCCUGCUGCAUGGUGGGGGUUGGAAAGUUUCGGCGGUUGGGGAUGGACUCGAGGCUUAUCAGCUUGUUGGUGGGGUAGUGGCUUACCAAGGCUUUGACGGGUAGCCGGCCUGAGAGGGUGACCGGCCACAUUGGGACUGAGAUACGGCCCAGACUCCUACGGGAGGCAGCAGUGGGGAAUAUUGCACAAUGGGCGGAAGCCUGAUGCAGCAACGCCGCGUGCGGGAUGACGGCCUUCGGGUUGUAAACCGCUUUCGCCUGUGACGAAGCGUGAGUGACGGUAAUGGGUAAAGAAGCACCGGCUAACUACGUG